UGGGUAAGGACGGUGCCAGCCACCGCGGUAAUACCGGCGCCUCAAGUGGUAGUCGCUUUUAUUGGGCCUAAAACGUCCGUAGCCGGUCUGGUGCAUUCGUGGGUAAAUCAACCCGCUCAACGGGUUGAAUUCUGCGAGCACGGCCAGACUUGGGACCGGGAGAGGUGUGGGGUACUCUCAGGGUAGGGGUAAAAUCCUGUCAUCCUGAGAGGACCACCUGUUGCGAAGGCGCCACACUAGAACGGAUUCGACGGUCAGGGACGAAACCUAGGGGCACGAACCGGAUUAGAUACCCGGGUAGUCCUAGGUGUAAACGCUGUGGACUUGAUGUUGGGGGUGCUCCGAGCACUCUCAGUGUAGAAGCGAAGGUGAUAAGUCCACUGCCUGGGGAGUACGGUCGCAAGGCUGAAACUUAAACGGUAAUUGGCGGGGGAGCACUUUCAACCUGAGGAUUGUGCGGUUUAAUUGGAUCUCAACGCCGGGAA
Molecule: ribosomal RNA, 485 nt
Filed under: uncultured Candidatus Poseidoniales archaeon
Lineage: Archaea; Methanobacteriati; Thermoplasmatota; Candidatus Poseidoniia; Candidatus Poseidoniales
Description: bacterial SSU rRNA
Rfam family: Archaeal small subunit ribosomal RNA
Source: RNAcentral